RNAcentral lists this ribosomal RNA (919 nucleotides) under uncultured Ascomycota. RNAcentral describes it as "eukaryotic LSU rRNA". The stretch from base 286 to 919 matches the Rfam family "Eukaryotic large subunit ribosomal RNA", at positions 1 to 664 of the family's 3401-position model. Lineage: Eukaryota; Fungi; Ascomycota. The record is from RNAcentral.
AUCGAUGAAGAACGCAGCGAAAUGCGAUAAGUAAUGUGAAUUGCAGAAUUCAGUGAAUCAUCGAAUCUUUGAACGCACAUUGCGCCCCCUGGUAUUCCGGGGGGCAUGCCUGUUCGAGCGUCAUUUCAACCAAACCAGCCCCGCUGGGUGUUGGGCGUCGCGGUCCGCCGCGCGCCUCAAAGUCUUCGGCGGAAGCCGCCCGUUCCUCUGCGUGAUGCAUCGUCGUCGCUCGGGACACGGGGGUGAGCGCCCGGAAAUCGUCGGCGGAGACGCCGACUUCAAGGUUGACCUCGGAUCAGGUAGGGAUACCCGCUGAACUUAAGCAUAUCAAUAAGCGGAGGAAAAGAAACCAACAGGGAUUGCCCUAGUAACGGCGAGUGAAGCGGCAACAGCUCAAAUUUGAAAUCUGGCGCAAGCCCGAGUUGUAAUUUGUAGAGGAUGCUUCUGGGUAGCGGCCGGUCUAAGUUCCUUGGAACAGGACGUCACAGAGGGUGAGAAUCCCGUAUGUGAUCGGCGCGCGCCCUCUACGUAGCUCCUUCGACGAGUCGAGUUGUUUGGGAAUGCAGCUCUAAAUGGGAGGUAAAUUUCUUCUAAAGCUAAAUACUGGCCAGAGACCGAUAGCGCACAAGUAGAGUGAUCGAAAGAUGAAAAGCACUUUGGAAAGAGAGUUAAAAAGCACGUGAAAUUGUUGAAAGGGAAGCGCUUGCAACCAGACUUGCGGGUGGUGUUCCGCCGGGCUUCUGCCCGGUCUACUCACCGCCCGCAGGCCAUCAUCGUCUGGGGCCGCCGGAGAAACCGUCAGGAAUGUGGCUCCCUCGGGAGUGUUAUAGCCUGUCGACAUGCGGCGCGCCCCGGGCGAGGUCCGCGCACUGCAAGGAUGAUGGCGUAAUGGUUGNNNNNNNNNCGUCUUGAAACACGG